Eupeodes corollae is the source of this 1435-nucleotide long non-coding RNA. RefSeq lists it as uncharacterized. The record is from RefSeq and is a predicted model, not a curated record. The transcript is spliced from 4 exons. Lineage: Eukaryota; Metazoa; Arthropoda; Insecta; Diptera; Syrphidae.
ACUCAAAUUUUUAUUUUGAAUCGAUUUUAAUUUCAUUCCGGUGAGUAAAAAUUAAAUGCAGAACCUUGUGUAGGAGCAGCCUAGAUCCAGCCCCGAACAUUCAAAGCACAUACAAUCGAAAUAUGAAAAGAUGUUAAUUCUUUCUAAACCCAUAAUAUUUGAGUUCGUUAGCCUGGUCCUGAUGCCUGGUUCUAGAUGGUUAUGCUUAUGCUCAUGAUUGUGCCUUCUCUUGAUGUUAUUGCAAUGGAGAAUGCGGUGCAAUAGUCCUUGAGAAAAAUUACAAAAUGGGAAUAUCUACUCUUUUGCUGUGUGUGUUCCUUCAAAGAACGCGUAUUCCUUUUCCUAUACAUACUAACAUUGAAUAUUAAACGCGAAUGAAUAGGCAAAUGAGCAUAAUGAAUUGCUUUUUCGUUACAACCAGCAUCAGAAGAAAAAGAAAACAUUGUUCUUCAUCCUUAACACUUUUUCUUCAUAUCCUUGUGGGUAACUAAAACUCCAGCUUAAGACCAUCAUCGGCAACAACUUUAACCAUCGUAUCGCAUCAACGGUAUAAACCUAGUAACUACCCAACAGCAGCGAGGGCGGAUUUGGCAAAACGCGAAGAAGGUUUCCCCCGAUUUCCGGAUCGUUGAACGGAAUAGCUGUUCGAUAAGUUUUGCAAUCGUCCUCGUUCUCGUCGUCCUCGUUACCAUCCAUGUCGCUCGAUUUCAGCUUUCAGGGAAUGAGUUUCUAGUCUUUUUUUUCUUCUAUAAGGACAAAUUAUGCUUUUGGUAUUUAAGUGUAAAGUGAAAAAUAUAUACCAAUAUUUAUUCCAUCAUCAAAUGAACGGGAAUAGGUUGGUAUAAGUGGGUAGGUGUAAACUGAAAUGCAGAUGUUGAGGAUGGGAUAGGUGAUUUGGGGAGGUGCAGAAGGGAUGAAAUGGAAAAGGAGGACUUUAGAAACAAAACCAGAAAGAAGAAGUGAUUUUUCUUAAUUGGCUGUUAAUUAACCGCUGUGGAAUUUAAUUAGCCAUAAAGGCUGCUUCAGCUUUGAGUCUGUACAUAGUGCACCAUAGUAUAUAGCCUCGAUGAUGGCUUGAUGGUGGAUCUGGUUGAACGGAAACAGCGACGAGCGACGGUAACGGUGGCGCGGCAUCGUCGGCGAAAUGAAGAAGCGAAGUAAGAGUACCACAGCAAUUUUCUACUUCUGGUAUGGAAGCAAUUAAUUUCCGUUUUGAAUUUCGCGUGAGACAGUAAACAGCGACAAAUAGAGAGAUAUAGAGAGAGAGAAACAGUGCGCUAUCGUUCUUUUAGAUAGAGUGUUCAUUUGCUAUUGAAUCGGUAAUUAAAAGGAAAUGAUGAUCAUAAAUUGAGAAGUGUGAAAAAGUGCUGAGGACAUAUUUUUUGUAGACAGGAAGUAGCUUACUAUAUUUUUUUAAUGACAAAAAGUUUAAAAG